AAAUUGAAGAGUUUGAUCAUGGCUCAGAUUGAACGCUGGCGGCAGGCCUAACACAUGCAAGUCGAACGGUAGCACAGAGAGCUUGCUCUCGGGUGACGAGUGGCGGACGGGUGAGUAAUGUCUGGGAAACUGCCCGAUGGAGGGGGAUAACUACUGGAAACGGUAGCUAAUACCGCAUAACGUCGCAAGACCAAAGAGGGGGACCUUCGGGCCUCUUGCCAUCGGAUGUGCCCAGAUGGGAUUAGCUUGUAGGUGAGGUAACGGCUCACCUAGGCGACGAUCCCUAGCUGGUCUGAGAGGAUGACCAGCCACACUGGAACUGAGACACGGUCCAGACUCCUACGGGAGGCAGCAGUGGGGAAUAUUGCACAAUGGGCGCAAGCCUGAUGCAGCCAUGCCGCGUGUAUGAAGAAGGCCUUCGGGUUGUAAAGUACUUUCAGCGGGGAGGAAGGGAGUGAGGUUAAUAACCUUAUUCAUUGACGUUACCCGCAGAAGAAGCACCGGCUAACUCCGUGCCAGCAGCCGCGGUAAUACGGAGGGUGCAAGCGUUAAUCGGAAUUACUGGGCGUAAAGCGCACGCAGGCGGUCUGUCAAGUCGGAUGUGAAAUCCCCGGGCUCAACCUGGGAACUGCAUUCGAAACUGGCAGGCUGGAGUCUUGUAGAGGGGGGUAGAAUUCCAGGUGUAGCGGUGAAAUGCGUAGAGAUCUGGAGGAAUACCGGUGGCGAAGGCGGCCCCCUGGACAAAGACUGACGCUCAGGUGCGAAAGCGUGGGGAGCAAACAGGAUUAGAUACCCUGGUAGUCCACGCUGUAAACGAUGUCGACUUGGAGGUUGUUCCCUUGAGGAGUGGCUUCCGGAGCUAACGCGUUAAGUCGACCGCCUGGGGAGUACGGCCGCAAGGUUAAAACUCAAAUGAAUUGACGGGGGCCCGCACAAGCGGUGGAGCAUGUGGUUUAAUUCGAUGCAACGCGAAGAACCUUACCUACUCUUGACAUCCAAUGGCCCUUACGAGUAGGGCUACACACGUGCUACAAUGGCAUAUACAAAGAGAAGCGACCUCGCGAGAGCAAGCGGACCUCAUAAAGUAUGUCGUAGUCCGGAUUGGAGUCUGCAACUCGACUCCAUGAAGUCGGAAUCGCUAGUAAUCGUGGAUCAGAAUGCCACGGUGAAUACGUUCCCGGGCCUUGUACACACCGCCCGUCACACCAUGGGAGUGGGUUGCAAAAGAAGUAGGUAGCUUAACCUUCGGGAGGGCGCUUACCACUUUGUGAUUCAUGACUGGGGUGAAGUCGUAACAAGGUAACCGUAGGGGAACCUGCGGUUGGAUCACCUCCUUA
This 1337-nucleotide ribosomal RNA is filed under the name Klebsiella oxytoca. RNAcentral's name for it is "bacterial SSU rRNA". It matches the Rfam family "Bacterial small subunit ribosomal RNA". Lineage: Bacteria; Pseudomonadati; Pseudomonadota; Gammaproteobacteria; Enterobacterales; Enterobacteriaceae. The record is from RNAcentral.